CGGGACGAUGUAAGCUAAUGAAAACGGCGGUGGACAUUCGGGCUGCCAUAACACACGGUAGACUCGUUGUCCUAUAAUAGCCAUAACAUACGGUAGUCUUGAUUGUCCAAUAAUAGCCAUCUAACACACGGUAGACUCGAUUGUUCGAUAAUAGCCAUCUAACACACGACAGUCUUGAUGGUCCUAUAGCUAUUUACACCUUUUACCAUACAAAAAAUAUAGUGCACGGGGAAUUAAAAAAAAUAGAUGUGUCCUUAUUAUUUGUAGCGGGACCUUGAAACAUGUUGUUAAGUCAUGCAUAUACUGAGUCAUUUACUAAAAAUAGUGUACGGGUUUCUACUAACGGGGAUUCUGCAAACAAAUAUUCCUUAUUAGGGGUUAUAUGUGUCACAUUAUGGGGAGAAAUGUGACUAUCCAAUCAGGGGCUAUAUGCAACCCAGUCUUACUCCUUAUGUUAGAGCCAAAUGCGCUUCAAAAUCGGUGAAGACAGUCGUGUAUUUGUGUUUUAAAGUAAUCGAUCACGUCUAUCACGUCAUCAAUAUGUCUGAUCAAUAGUCUGUUUUCGCUAUGACUAUAAGUAUAAGUAGAAAUAAAACAGUAGAUGAAUUAGAGAAGAUGAUACAGGAGGAGUAUAGAAAGAAGUAUGGUAGAGAGUAUGAUGGUUAUAGUGAUUCUAUCUACAGUGAUGAUGGACAGGACAAGUACGACUACCAAAAAACACAACAAACAUCUUCCAUUAAUAGACUUGAAUUUAAAAUAUAGCGAUACAGUCGACUGGUGGUAAUACUAGUCUGUUGAUGAUGUAUAAAAUAAUUACAUCUUUUAAAUACACUGCUGCAGUAUACUGGAACAAUCUUCCUAUCCACCUGAAAAAAUGGCCUCCCUUAUCGACAUUCAAAACCUUAUUGAAGACAUAUUUAUUUAAACGUUAUGUUUAGUUUUCCCUUGGUAUUGAACUUUUAUUGUACAGAACUGAAUCACAAGCGCUAUGAGCAUACUCUUUGUGGACUAGCACUCUAUGAAUGACAUUCCUAUUAUUAUUUUAUUAUUAAAUCAUAUAUACUAACUAUAAAACAAUAUUAAACAUUUAACUUGAACAUUGAAUUCUAUCUAUAUAUACUAACUAUAAAACAAUAUUAAACAUUUAACUUAAACAUUGAAUUCUAUCUACAUAUACUAACUAUAAAACAAUAUUAAACAUUUAACUUA
Long non-coding RNA from Patella vulgata (common limpet), 1209 nucleotides. RefSeq lists it as uncharacterized. The record is from RefSeq and is a predicted model, not a curated record. The transcript is spliced from 2 exons. NCBI's taxonomy places the organism in Eukaryota, Metazoa, Mollusca, Gastropoda, Patellidae.